RNAcentral lists this long non-coding RNA (791 nucleotides) under Rattus norvegicus (Norway rat). Its description in RNAcentral is "long non-coding RNA NONRATT012737". Lineage: Eukaryota; Metazoa; Chordata; Mammalia; Rodentia; Muridae. The record is from RNAcentral.
AUGCCUUUACAUUCAUAAUCCAGACUUCAUAGAAGACCCUGCCAUGAAAGCUUUUGCUCUGGGAAUCUUGAAGAUCUGUGACAUUGCAAGGGAAAAAGUCAACAAAGCUGCUGUUUUUGAGGAGGAAGAUUUCCAGUCAAUGACAUAUGGAUUUAAAAUGGCCAACGGUGUGACAGAUCUUCGAGUUACAGGUAUAAACUAUUGACUACAAUAAUUUGUAAGUUUUGCAUUUUGAUUUGUUUUAAAGCUUACUGUUCUCAUUCUAGGGAUGCUCAAAGAUGUGGAGGACGACAUGCAAAGGAGAGUAAAGAGUACUCGAAGUCGACAAGGAGAAGAGAGAGACCCAGAAGUUGAACUAGAACACCAGCAGUGCUUGGCAGCGUUCAGCAGAGUGAAGUUCACCCGAGUACUGCUGACAGUGCUCAUAGCCUUCACUAAGAAAGAGACCAUCCAAUUAUGAUGGGUUUUGAGCCCCUUGUUAACCAGAGAUUACUUCCACCCACCUUCCCUCGCUAUGCAAAAAUAAUUAAAAGAGAAGAAAUGGUCAACUAUUUCUCAAGAUUAAUAGACAGGAUAAAAACUGUCUGUGAAGUCGUGAACUUACCAAACUUACAUUGUAUCCUGGAUUUUUUCUGUGAAUUUAGUGAACAGUCACCAUGUGUUCUUUCAAGAUCUCUGUUACAAACUACUUUCCUCGUGGAUAACAAAAAAGUCUUUGGGACUCAUCUCAUGCAAGACAUGGUGAAAGAUGCCCUCCGGUCCUUCGUCAGUCCUCCGGUGCUCUCCCCCAA